This 435-nucleotide ribosomal RNA is filed under the name uncultured bacterium. RNAcentral's name for it is "partial 16S ribosomal RNA". It matches the Rfam family "Bacterial small subunit ribosomal RNA", at positions 29 to 507 of the family's 1533-position model. The record is from RNAcentral.
AGCGAACGCUGGCGGCAUGCCUAACACAUGCAAGUCGAACGAUUGCCUUCGGGUGAUGGUGGCGCACGGGUGCGUAACGCGUGGGAAUCCGCCCUUAGGUUCGGAAUAACAGCUGGUAACGGCUGCUAAUACCGGCUGAUAUCGCGAGAUCAAAGAUUUAUCGCCUGAGGAGGAGCACGCGUUGGCUCAGGUAGUUGGUGGGGUAAAGGACUACCAAGCCGACGAUCCAUAGCUGGUCUGAGAGGAUGAUCAGCCACACUGGGACUGAGACACGGCGCGGACUCUUACGGGAGGCAGCAAUGGGGAAUAUUGGACCGUGGGCUCAAGCCAGAUCCAGCAAUGCCGUUUGAGUGAUUAAGGCCCGAGAGUUGUAAAGCUCUUUUACCCGCGGAGAUAAUGACGGUACCGGGAGAAUAAGCCCCGGCUAACUCCGUG